RNAcentral lists this transfer RNA (71 nucleotides) under Candidatus Melainabacteria bacterium HGW-Melainabacteria-1. RNAcentral describes it as "tRNA-Ala". It matches the Rfam family "tRNA". From Rfam's summary of the family: Transfer RNA (tRNA) molecules are approximately 80 nucleotides in length. Lineage: Bacteria; Bacillati; Candidatus Melainabacteria. The record is from RNAcentral. RNAcentral also lists the same sequence under 2 other names.
GGGGCCUUAGCUUAACGGUAGAGUAGUCGGUUCGCAUCCGACCGAUACCGGUUCGAUUCCGGUAGGCUCCA